This 253-nucleotide ribosomal RNA is filed under the name uncultured bacterium. RNAcentral's name for it is "partial 16S ribosomal RNA". It matches the Rfam family "Bacterial small subunit ribosomal RNA", at positions 524 to 776 of the family's 1533-position model. The record is from RNAcentral.
UACGUAGGGGGCAAGCGUUGUCCGGAAUCAUUGGGCGUAAAGCGCGUGUAGGCGGUCCGGUAAGUCCGCUGUGAAAGUCGGGGGCUCAACCCUCGGAUGCCGGUGGAUACUGUCGGGCUUGAGUACGGAAGAGGCGAGUGGAAUUCCUGGUGUAGCGGUGAAAUGCGCAGAUAUCAGGAGGAACACCAAUUGCGAAAGCAGCUCGCUGGGACGUUACUGACGCUGAGACGCGAAAGCGUGGGGAGCAAACAGG